Molecule: ribosomal RNA, 367 nt
Filed under: uncultured bacterium
Lineage: Bacteria
Description: bacterial SSU rRNA
Rfam family: Bacterial small subunit ribosomal RNA
Source: RNAcentral
AUUGAACGCUGGCGGCAUGCCUUACACAUGCAAGUCGAACGGCAGCACGGGAGCAAUCCUGGUGGCGAGUGGCGAACGGGUGAGUAAUAGUAUCGGAACGUGCCCAGUCGUGGGGAUAACGUAGAGAAAUUUACGGCUAAUACCGCAUACGAUCUAAGGAUGGAAAGCGGGGGGACCGUAAGGCCUCGCGCGAUUGGAGCGGCUGAUAUCAGAUUAGGUUGUUGGUGAGGUAAAAGCUCACCAAGCCGACGAUCUGUAGCUGGUUUGAGAGAACGACCAGCCACACUGGGACUGAGACACGGGUCCAGACUCCUACGGGAGGCAGCAGUGGGGAAUUUUGGACAAUGGACGCAAGUCUGAUCCAGCC